RNAcentral lists this transfer RNA (92 nucleotides) under Yersinia pekkanenii. Its description in RNAcentral is "tRNA-Pro(cgg)". Lineage: Bacteria; Pseudomonadati; Pseudomonadota; Gammaproteobacteria; Enterobacterales; Yersiniaceae. The record is from RNAcentral.
GCUGACAUGGUCAGUGGGGAGUGCCGGGUGGUGACGGAUACCACGGAAAUCGAUGUCGGGUGCCAACAUCGUUUGGAUCAAUGUGUUGAUGC